GACGAACGCUGGCGGCGUGCUUAACACAUGCAAGUCGAACGGAAAGGCCCUGCUUUUGUUGGGUGCUCGAUUGGCGAACGGGUGAGUAACACGUGAGUAACCUGCCCUUGACUUUGGGAUAACUUCAGGAAACUGGGGCUAAUACCGGAUAGGAGCUCCUGCUGCAUGGUGUGGGUUGGAAAGUUUCGGCGGUUGGGGAUGGACUCGCGGCUUAUCAGCUUGUUUGUGGGGUAGUGGCUUACCAAGGCUUUGACGGGUAGCCGGCCUGAGAGGGUGACCGGCCACAUUGGGACUGAGAUACGGACCAGACUCCUACGGGAGGCAGCAGUGGGGAAUAUUGCACAAUGGGCGGAAGCCUGAUGCAGCAACGCCGCGUGCGGGAUGACGGCCUUCGGGUUGUAAACCGCUUUCGACUGUGACGAAGAGUGAGUGGCGGUAAUGGGUAAAGAAGCAACGGCUAACUACGUG
RNAcentral lists this ribosomal RNA (468 nucleotides) under uncultured bacterium. RNAcentral describes it as "partial 16S ribosomal RNA". It matches the Rfam family "Bacterial small subunit ribosomal RNA", at positions 28 to 507 of the family's 1533-position model. The record is from RNAcentral.